Molecule: transfer RNA, 65 nt
Filed under: Belzebub intermedius
Lineage: Eukaryota; Metazoa; Arthropoda; Malacostraca; Decapoda; Luciferidae
Description: tRNA-Pro
Rfam family: tRNA
About the family: Transfer RNA (tRNA) molecules are approximately 80 nucleotides in length.
Source: RNAcentral
CAGAGAAUAGUUUAAAAUAAAAUAUUAGUUUUGGGAAUUAAAGAUAAAAUAAUUUUUUUCUCUGA